Molecule: unclassified non-coding RNA, 209 nt
Filed under: uncultured fungus
Lineage: Eukaryota; Fungi
Description: partial contains 18S rRNA, ITS1, 5.8S rRNA, ITS2 and 28S rRNA
Source: RNAcentral
AAGGAUCAUUACAGGACUCGCAAGACUCCCGUAAACCACUGUGAACUUACCUACAACCCGUUGCCUCGGCGGGUGCUCCGGGCGCGUCUUCGGGCGCUCCGGGGCGCUCCAGCCCGCCGGCGGCCCCUAAACUCUGUCUCUGUAACGUUGGCAUCUCCGAGCAGACUAUAAACGAGUCAAAACUUUCAACAACGGAUCUCUUGGUUCUG